This 222-nucleotide ribosomal RNA is filed under the name Streptococcus pneumoniae. RNAcentral's name for it is "partial 16S ribosomal RNA". It matches the Rfam family "Bacterial small subunit ribosomal RNA", at positions 1 to 219 of the family's 1533-position model. The record is from RNAcentral. Lineage: Bacteria; Bacillati; Bacillota; Bacilli; Lactobacillales; Streptococcaceae.
UUUUAAUGAGAGUUUGAUCCUGGCUCAGGACGAACGCUGGCGGCGUGCCUAAUACAUGCAAGUAGAACGCUGAAGGAGGAGCUUGCUUCUCUGGAUGAGUUGCGAACGGGUGAGUAACGCGUAGGUAACCUGCCUGGUAGCGGGGGAUAACUAUUGGAAACGAUAGCUAAUACCGCAUAAGAGUGGAUGUUGCAUGACAUUUGCUUAAAAGGUGCACUUGCA